GUAACAAGGUCUCCGUUGGUGAACCAGCGGAGGGAUCAUUACCGAGUUUACAACUCCCAAACCCCUGUGAACAUACCAAUUGUUGCCUCGGCGGAUCAGCCCGCUCCCGGUAAAACGGGACGGCCCGCCAGAGGACCCCUAAACUCUGUUUCUAUAUGUAACUUCUGAGUAAAACCAUAAAUAAAUCAAAACUUUCAACAACGGAUCUCUUGGUUCUGGCAUCGAUGAAGAACGCAGCAAAAUGCGAUAAGUAAUGUGAAUUGCAGAAUUCAGUGAAUCAUCGAAUCUUUGAACGCACAUUGCGCCCGCCAGUAUUCUGGCGGGCAUGCCUGUUCGAGCGUCAUUUCAACCCUCAAGCCCUCGGGUUUGGUGUUGGGGAUCGGCGAGCCCUCGCGGCAAGCCGGCCCCGAAAUAUAGUGGCGGUCUCGCUGCAGCUUCCAUUGCGUAGUAGUAAAACCCUCGCAACUGGUACGCGGCGCGGCCAAGCCGUUAAACCCCCAACUUCUGAAUGUUGACCUCGGAUCAGGUAGGAAUACCCGCUG
RNAcentral lists this ribosomal RNA (542 nucleotides) under Fusarium verticillioides. RNAcentral's name for it is "eukaryotic LSU rRNA". The stretch from base 190 to 343 matches the Rfam family "5.8S ribosomal RNA". Lineage: Eukaryota; Fungi; Ascomycota; Sordariomycetes; Hypocreales; Nectriaceae. The record is from RNAcentral.